AUACGGAGGGUGCAAGCGUUACUCGGAAUCACUGGGCGUAAAGCGCGCGCAGGCGGCUAUUUAAGUUGGAUGUGAAAGCCUACGGCUCAACCGUAGAACUGCAUCCAAAACUAUUUAGCUAGAGUGUGGGAGAGGAAGAUGGAAUUAGUUGUGUAGGGGUAAAAUCCGUAGAGAUAACUAGGAAUACCAAAAGCGAAGGCAAUCUUCUGGAACACUACUGACGCUGAGGCGUGAAAGCGUGGGGAGCAAACAGGAUUAGAUACCCGUGUAGUCC
Molecule: ribosomal RNA, 274 nt
Filed under: uncultured bacterium
Lineage: Bacteria
Description: partial 16S ribosomal RNA
Rfam family: Bacterial small subunit ribosomal RNA
Source: RNAcentral